AACGCGAAGAACCUUACCUGGGUUUGACAUCCCGUGACAGCUGCAGAGAUGUAGUUUUCCCUUCGGGGACACGGAGACAGGUGCUGCAUGGCUGUCGUCAGCUCGUGUCGUAAGAUGUUGGGUUAAGUCCCGCAACGAGCGCAACCCUUGCCCUUAGUUGCUACCAUUUAGUUGAGCACUCUGGGGGGACUGCCGGUGUUAAACCGGAGGAAGGCGGGGAUGACGUCAAGUCCUCAUGGCCCUUACAUCCAGGGCUACACACGUACUACAAUGGCAGAAACAGACCGUCGCUAAACCGUGAGGUGGAGCUAAUCGGAAAAACACUGCCUCAGUUCGGAUUGAAGUCUGCAAUUCGACUUCAUGAAGUUGGAAUCGCUAGUAAUCGCAGAUCAGCACGCUGCGGUGAAUACGUUCCCGGGCCUUGUACACACCGUACGUC
RNAcentral lists this ribosomal RNA (439 nucleotides) under uncultured bacterium. RNAcentral describes it as "bacterial SSU rRNA". It matches the Rfam family "Bacterial small subunit ribosomal RNA", at positions 958 to 1398 of the family's 1533-position model. The record is from RNAcentral.